RNAcentral lists this ribosomal RNA (1363 nucleotides) under Lacticaseibacillus rhamnosus. Its description in RNAcentral is "bacterial SSU rRNA". It matches the Rfam family "Bacterial small subunit ribosomal RNA", at positions 82 to 1431 of the family's 1533-position model. Lineage: Bacteria; Bacillati; Bacillota; Bacilli; Lactobacillales; Lactobacillaceae. The record is from RNAcentral.
UAAUUUUGAACGAGUGGCGGACGGGUGAGUAACACGUGGGUAACCUGCCCUUAAGUGGGGGAUAACAUUUGGAAACAGAUGCUAAUACCGCAUAAAUCCAAGAACCGCAUGGUUCUUGGCUGAAAGAUGGCGUAAGCUAUCGCUUUUGGAUGGACCCGCGGCGUAUUAGCUAUUUGGUGAGGUAACGGCUCACCAAGGCAAUGAUACGUAGCCGAACUGAGAGGUUGAUCGGCCACAUUGGGACUGAGACACGGCCCAAACUCCUACGGGAGGCAGCAGUAGGGAAUCUUCCACAAUGGACGCAAGUCUGAUGGAGCAUCGCCGCGUGAGUGAAGAAGGCUUUCGGGUCGUAAAACUCUGUUGUUGGAGAAGAAUGGUCGGCAGAGUAACUGUUGUCGGCGUGACGGUAUCCAACCAGAAAGCCACGGCUAACUACGUGCCAGCAGCCGCGGUAAUACGUAGGUGGCAAGCGUUAUCCGGAUUUAUUGGGCGUAAAGCGAGCGCAGGCGGUUUUUUAAGUCUGAUGUGAAAGCCCUCGGCUUAACCGAGGAAGUGCAUCGGAAACUGGGAAACUUGAGUGCAGAAGAGGACAGUGGAACUCCAUGUGUAGCGGUGAAAUGCGUAGAUAUAUGGAAGAACACCAGUGGCGAAGGCGGCUGUCUGGUCUGUAACUGACGCUGAGGCUCGAAAGCAUGGGUAGCGAACAGGAUUAGAUACCCUGGUAGUCCAUGCCGUAAACGAUGAAUGCUAGGUGUUGGAGGGUUUCCGCCCUUCAGUGCCGCAGCUAACGCAUUAAGCAUUCCGCCUGGGGAGUACGACCGCAAGGUUGAAACUCAAAGGAAUUGACGGGGGCCCGCACAAGCGGUGGAGCAUGUGGUUUAAUUCGAAGCAACGCGAAGAACCUUACCAGGUCUUGACAUCUUUUGAUCACCUGAGAGAUCAGGUUUCCCCUUCGGGGGCAAAAUGACAGGUGGUGCAUGGUUGUCGUCAGCUCGUGUCGUGAGAUGUUGGGUUAAGUCCCGCAACGAGCGCAACCCUUAUGACUAGUUGCCAGCAUUUAGUUGGGCACUCUAGUAAGACUGCCGGUGACAAACCGGAGGAAGGUGGGGAUGACGUCAAAUCAUCAUGCCCCUUAUGACCUGGGCUACACACGUGCUACAAUGGAUGGUACAACGAGUUGCGAGACCGCGAGGUCAAGCUAAUCUCUUAAAGCCAUUCUCAGUUCGGACUGUAGGCUGCAACUCGCCUACACGAAGUCGGAAUCGCUAGUAAUCGCGGAUCAGCACGCCGCGGUGAAUACGUUCCCGGGCCUUGUACACACCGCCCGUCACACACAUGAGAGUUUGUAACACCCGAAGCCGGU